Mustela erminea (ermine) is the source of this 93-nucleotide long non-coding RNA. RefSeq lists it as uncharacterized. NCBI's taxonomy places the organism in Eukaryota, Metazoa, Chordata, Mammalia, Carnivora, Mustelidae. The transcript has 3 exons. The record is from RefSeq and is a predicted model, not a curated record.
GGCCGCCUAGGCGGCUCAGUCAUUAAGCUCUGCCUUGGGCUCAGGUCAUGGUCUCAGCGUCCUGGGAUGGAGCCCUACAUCAGGCUUUCUGCU